This 513-nucleotide long non-coding RNA is filed under the name Brassica rapa (field mustard). RNAcentral's name for it is "long non-coding RNA (BRAP_LNC000297)". Lineage: Eukaryota; Viridiplantae; Streptophyta; Magnoliopsida; Brassicales; Brassicaceae. The record is from RNAcentral.
CCGAAAAUCCCGAAGAUGACUGUGAGAGGGAUAUGCCCGAUAUUCCACGCCACAGUAGUGGAAGACUGGCGAGGAUAAAAUCGUAAUCCCAUCAUUACGAUUUUACUUACUGACAGUUUUUCCCUAAAAAGGAUCUACCGCAAUUACUAAAGAUCAGUAAAAAACAAACCACACCGUCCCACUAAGAGGGUUAAACGGUAAAUUUACAAGUAUCACGUAAUAAUAAUUUUGACGAAAAGAUAUCACGUAAUUAAAUAUGACGUGGCAUCAUCGCGUCUAGUCACACCUUUUCUUCUUUGGACUCUUCAGCUUCGUCUAUCUCUGUGCACCUAUAUAAUCAACCAAUCUGGCUUUACCGUAAACAGAAGAAAAAUUAUUACUAUAGUCGGGGAAUUGAUUCUCGCCGGAGAAAUGAAUAUUCCGGUUACUUUUACCUCUGUGACCGUUCAUAGUAUCGCUGUUUCCGACACUCGCCGUCAUGUGUUCCGUGAAACUCGUCGCUGUUAAGAAACU